CACACGCGCACCUGGCCUCUGUCACCAGCGCCGAGGAGCAGGCGUACCUGGCGCGGGAGGCCCGGGGUGGCACCUACUGGAUCGGGCUGUCGGCCGUGGGCACAGGGGGCUCCUGGCGCUGGUCGGACGGGACCCCCUAUUCCCCCGAGCACAGUUUCUGGGCUCCAGGGCAGCCGGACAGCACCGACCACGGCGCCUGGGCCGGCGAGAGCUGCGCGCAGAUCCACCCGGUGGGCACGGGGCUCUGGAACGACCACAACUGCAACUUCAGCUUCCCCUGGGUGUGCCAGAGGGACCUCAGCGCCCCCUGAGUGUCCCCUCGGUGCGGUCACCUCGGUGCGGUCACCUCAGUGGGGUCACCUCGGAGAGUU
This is a long non-coding RNA of Camarhynchus parvulus, 371 nucleotides long. RefSeq lists it as uncharacterized. The transcript has 3 exons. Lineage: Eukaryota; Metazoa; Chordata; Aves; Passeriformes; Thraupidae. The record is from RefSeq and is a predicted model, not a curated record.